GGAUGUGGUCCUGAAUGCUAAAGGGCUUGCUGGCAAGCAAAAGGUCCUGGGUUCAAUCCCCAGUACCACCA
Molecule: transfer RNA, 71 nt
Filed under: Dipodomys ordii (Ord's kangaroo rat)
Lineage: Eukaryota; Metazoa; Chordata; Mammalia; Rodentia; Heteromyidae
Rfam family: tRNA
About the family: Transfer RNA (tRNA) molecules are approximately 80 nucleotides in length. Their secondary structure includes four short double-helical elements and three loops (D, anti-codon, and T loops). Further hydrogen bonds mediate the characteristic L-shaped molecular structure. tRNAs have two regions of fundamental functional importance: the anti-codon, which is responsible for specific mRNA codon recognition, and the 3' end, to which the tRNAs corresponding amino acid is attached (by aminoacyl-tRNA synthetases). tRNAs cope with the degeneracy of the genetic code in two manners: having more than one tRNA (with a specific anti-codon) for a particular amino acid; and 'wobble' base-pairing, i.e. permitting non-standard base-pairing at the 3rd anti-codon position.
Source: Rfam by way of RNAcentral